UGCGCAUUGUGAAAGCUGCAGCAGGGACAUGACACGGCAAGAGGAUCCCCAGAAAUUGUUGAUGAUUCCUGUUUCAAGCAUCCACCUGCGAGAGAGUACCCUCGUAGGAGUGGGACAUUGCAGGCAGAAGCAGCCAGCAGGAGAAGUGUACUGGAAAGGACGAGAAAAUUACAACAGGCUCCAUCUGUGGCAAGCUGAAGCCAGCGAACUUACUCAUGUGUCUCAUGGCCUGUGGACCGAGCCACCCUAGCUUUGGCUUUGUUCAAGCCUCCUACAAGCCACGGUUCACGACUUCACGUGGCUUGAGUACCCGUUGUAUCUAGAGCUGCCCCCUCUCGGUGCAAUAAAGCCUGGAACUAGUGUUGCAUCCACUCUCAAAGCUUCAGAAAUAGAGAAUUCCAGUGAUGCCACGGGCAAGCUUAAAUGCUCUUCUUCGUCUCACAGUCACCAGGAUAGAUCCUGAAGCAUACGACCCGUUGCAGAGUUUGUGAAGAAACACGCUCGUUAAAAGGGGAUUCGGUUAACUUGUCCAGAAGCAUGAGGGUAAGGAUGAACGUAUCCGUUUUCAGGAAAGAUGCCCUCUUCUUUUCUUUUCUUUUCUUUUUUGAGGGGAAAAGAUACCCUCUUCCAGUGUAGUGUUGUUCGACGCCGAAGAAGAGAAAGUGAUCAAUAUCGAAGAAAGGCUUGCUUCAGGAGCUCCUGUUUUCAUCCACUAAUUAGAGACUCGGCUGUUUUGGUGCCAAUGCAAUGAGUUGGGGGCGUGGUCCGUUUUGGUUUCACUGUCAACUUUUUGGUUUCUGACCUUUUCUUUUUGGGUGUGCGGUCCCUUUUUCUUUUUGUUUCGCUGUCAAUACGUGUGCAAGAAAUAACCUUAAGUCCUUGGGGCCGGUUUAGUAGCCAUGACUCCGCUGUUGUCGGUUGUUAGAAAAUGCAAGUGUAUCAGUA
This is a long non-coding RNA of Triticum dicoccoides, 945 nucleotides long. RefSeq lists it as uncharacterized. The record is from RefSeq and is a predicted model, not a curated record. Lineage: Eukaryota; Viridiplantae; Streptophyta; Magnoliopsida; Poales; Poaceae. The transcript has 3 exons.